Arvicola amphibius (Eurasian water vole) is the source of this 5774-nucleotide long non-coding RNA. RefSeq lists it as uncharacterized. The record is from RefSeq and is a predicted model, not a curated record. The transcript is spliced from 3 exons. NCBI's taxonomy places the organism in Eukaryota, Metazoa, Chordata, Mammalia, Rodentia, Cricetidae.
CACACACACACACACACACAAUUCUCAGACAAAAUGCUGGAGUUUCCUGCAUAGCAUUUGCAGACUCACCACUGGGCUGCCCAGGUUGGUGCAGAUGUUGGUGUUUUUAACUGUACAGUGCUACUGGAACUGCACAGGCCUGGAAGUCUAUGUAGACCAUGUUAGUCCCAAAUUCAUAAGGGAUCUUUUUACUUCUGCCUUCUGAGUGCUGGGCUUAAAGGCACAAUCUGCCACAUAUGGCUUAUUUUUGGAUUAAAAUGAAAGAUUCAUUUUAUUUCCAUGUCUCUUUGCACAUGUGUGCAGGUGCCUGUAGAGAAGGCACCAGAUCCCCUGGAGGGAUCCUAACAGGCAGGUAGGUGCUGGGAUCCAAACUCAGGGCCACUGGAAGAUCAGUGCAGGCUUUUAACCAGCCAUACCUCCAGCCCUACUUUGGAAUUUUGAGACAGGGUCUUGCUAUGUAGCUCAGACUGGCCUUGAAUUUUUGAUCCUUCUGCCUCAGAUUCCUGUGUUGGGGGAACCACAGGUAUGUGCCCCAACUCCUGUCUCCAAUGGCUUCUUCUGCCUAUCUUUUUGUAGUCUUAGCUGCAGGGGAGCUGAAACAAGCCCAGUUUAAGAUUUCAAUCACACUCCGCUCUACUCUCUCACAAGCCUGAAAUAAACUUUUCUAACACCUUUUGUGAUUGGAUACACUGAAUUUAAAUAGGGCUGCAGCUAUAAACAAAAAGAGCAAGCUGUGGAUUGAUGUGUCUAUUUCAGUGAGCCGCAGCCAUGUUAUUUCUGAACAUGGAGACUAAAAUUAAUAAAAUGACAAGUAGAAAAAGCCCAAAAUUUGGAGAUGUGUCCUGUAGUGAUAUCUUUAAAUAACACUAGCAGGUGUUUAUAAAAGACCUGAAAAAAUGAGUAACAUGCUUUUUUAUUUGUAUUUAUUUAGAGACAAGUUUGCAUUGUAGCCUGGGUUAUUCCCUGCUCAUAAUGUCAUGGAGGCUGGGACUGAACUCCUGAUCCUCUUGUCUUCACCUCCUAAGUAAUAGGGUAGUAGCUGUGCACCACCAUGCCCAGUGUUUAUUUAUUUUGGCAAGGACUUUUCCAGGUCACUGUGUACACGCUUAAUUGGUAAGAAUUUUAUUUAGAUUUUUGUGACUUGGGCUUUGAAUCUGGGUUUUCCAUAUACUAGACAGGAGCUCUGCCAUCUCAACAGCCCUACGAUAAUACUUUUAUUAUUAGUUUUCCUUAUUUAUUUUUAUUCUGAGGCUGGAACCUGGGGCCUUAUGCAUGCCACACACAUUGUCUACCGCCGAGCUACACCCCAUCUGUAGUACUAAUUUAAAACUGUUACUCAUGUCAAUGGCAAUGAUAUGGAUAUUUAUAAGUACUUCAUUUUCAUGAAGGACGGAGCUGAGGAAUAAUGCUUGUAUUGAAAUGAAGAUGUUUAGUUCUGCUCUGUGUCAGUGGUCUGUCAGCUCAGAUUCCCUGGUUUUCUCUGAAAUGGUUGGGGCUGAGCUCACAAGGAUUCCUCACUUUCUGAUCUGUGUAAAUGAGACUAUGUAAUCUGCGUAAGAGUCCAUGUCCCUGAAUGUUACCAUAAAGGUUCCUGUCGUAUACUCAAUUUUGCAAGCUAUUAUAGAAUGGUACCUUUAUUGUAUGUAUUCAGCAACCCAACUGGUAUAUCUGGUUAAUGGUGCACAAAAGAUCACAUCUGACAACCUCAUUAGAUAGCAUGGCAUUUCAUUAUUUUAUAAUAGAUGUCAAAAGUCAUACAUUUUAAUUUGAAGAUCUAUUGAAAUCUUUAGUAAGGUAAAUAGUUCAAAGUGAUUACCUGAUAUUGAAAAACACUCAUUAAGCUGCUAUAAUUUUACCUAUAAUGUAUGGAUCAAGAGAUAAACCUAGAUAAUCAAUGUAUUAAGUAUUAAGGUACUGCCAGGAAAAUGGGCCUAUAGCCUUUUAACACAGCACACAAACUGGAAUCUGUGGCUCAUGCUGGAGCCUGAGAGUCACACCCCUUUUACUUAAACUUUUGCUUAGUGAUGACUAUAAACACACUGGUCGGGGCUGGAGAGCUGGCUCAGAGGUUAAGGAUGUCCCCUGCUCUUCCAGGGUGUCCUGUGCUGCUCACAACUGCCUGCACCUCCAGCUCUAGGAAACCUAACGCCCUCUUCUGGCCUCUGUGGGCACUGCAUCCACGUGAGAGACACACUCUUAAAAAUAAAUCCUUAACAACAAACCUUCCAACACCAGACUUGUCUGACGAAUCUGUUGAGUAGGAAAUUUCCUCAUUUGACAUUCAGGCUGGCUGACUAGAAAGAAACCUGACUUUUCCUUAGCCCUUUCACGGCAGCAUCAAGGCCCUCAGCACUGCUGGAUCUGGCUGGAGGUGGUAAUGCUUUGCUGCAGUGUAGCUCAGACUCCAGCCAGGGGUUAGCCUGCCCCAGUGACUUCACCGAGCUCACUUUGCACCACCAUGACAAAGGGAGGCUCUGUGAUCACGUCACUACUGGAGAACCCACAGUACUGGGGGUGAAGUCUUAGGGCGACACAGACACGGCAAGGCUGACAGGAGGAACCCCAGAGCAGCGUAUCUGAUAAAGUUAUUCAGCUAUUUAAACAAAUGGUUUGGCUUUACAUAGCUAUCACCUGAAGGUGAUUAUAGAGUUUUGGAAAAGGUAGAUAAUGAUGAUGACAGAUAGUUUAGUGGGCGAAGGCAUGUGCUGUGGUGGCCUGGUGACCUGAGUCUGAGCCCAGGAAACCAUGUAAAGGUGGAAGGACAGAACCCACUCCAAUGAUCUCUUCUGACCUGCACGGAGAUGCUGUGGCACACACAGGCCCCACUCACAGGGCAGCUGCAAACUGGCUCUGAACACUGUGAAACAGCUCUUUAUUACUGUAGAGCCCAGAUUUCAACACUGUUUCAGUCUAGAGCUCAGUAGCUUUAUCACUAAAUAUGUGAGUCACACAAUCUACCACCUAAACACAGUAACACUAGCAGUUAAUAAAAAUGUUCAAAACAGAGAAAGGAUGAUGUGGCUGAGAUUCAAAACUGUGAAAGCAAGUGGCAAGCUGGAUUUGAAAUGGAGGCCAGUUUGCCAGCCUCUCAUCUAUACCAGCACUAGCCAAGGGAAACAAUGCAAAUCAUGUAUGUAUUUUAGAAAUCUCCAUAGCCACAUUAACAUGUGGUUUGGAUCUAAGUGGCCGCAGAGGUGCAUGUGUUUGUUAGGUUUUGGCUUUUGGGAAUUGAUUCUAUCAUUAGGGCUCCAACCAACUUGGCCAUGCAUUCACCGCUGGAUGCUACUGUGAGUUGAGGGCUGCCUGGAGGAGGCAGCUUCUGGCUGUGCCCUGGGAAGUCUAUGUUGCCUUCUUGUCUCUCCCCUCUGCUUCCUGGCAAUCGAGAGCUGUGCAGUCUGCUUCACAGGUUCCCACCAUGGUAUCUGCCUCACUGCAGUUACAGCAAGAGACAGACGACCUCAGAGAGCAGCCUCUGAACCCCUGGGUCAAGGUACCCCAUGGAGUAAAGGACCAUACCCUACACUGAGUCUUUGAUAAAUUCUUACCAACAAGGGAAAUGAUUUAUGAAGCUCAUUCCACAGCCUGCUGCCUACUGGAGACAGUGGAGACCACCCUUUCCCUACCAGAGUUCCGGCCACUGUAGAGCUGGCCAGUGAGGCUCUGCAAGGCCUUUUCAACUCAUCUGCUUGCAGAUUCUGAACUAUGGAGGCUCUCCUUGCUCGUCGACUCGAAGCCACAGAUGCAACAGCAGAAAAGCAGCACGCAGUACUCAGUGCCUGGUGUAGUCAGGCUGCAGCUCCUUCCUGAGAUGUCAGAGCUACUGCCUGUGGGGCUCAGUUUCUGAAGCUCGCUGGCAUCUAUGACUUCGCUGGGCAGCUGGGAAGUCAGCUCUGAGGAUGAUACCAAGUCUUCUGGACUGCCUGUGGUAGGGUCAGCUCUCUCUCCACUGCUGGGUUUCCCAGGGGAUUUCCUCAGAACUCUUAUAAAAACAGAACACAGCAAACUUUCAGUGGGAUGUGCUAUAGGCUAGGAGAUGGAUCCCUAGCCUUACUUUGUGGCUAGCAAUCAAGUGAGGGAUGGGAUGGUGUACCUGCUGCUUUGUGAGAUCGCAUCAUUGAUGGCCUUGUUAACUUGCUCGUAGUUGUAGUUCUGGUCACUUGCGUGCUUCCACAUGUGUGACUUCAAAGAAGGGGGGUGGCUGCACACGUACCCACACAAGGAGCACCUGGAAGACAAGGGGCCAGAGAAAUCACAACCAUCUCACAGCACUAUUGAAAAUUCAUAAUGGUUUUAUGUGGGAGCUACCUUUCCUGGAUAAAUUAUGUCUCUUCACAGCAAAUGGGGAUCACGGUAGAAAACCACAACUGAACACAUUUAUAUCACAGUUUCUGCAUCUAUGGCUUAGGGGACAUCCCCAAAGAGAGGGAGAAAAGAUUGUUAAGAGCCAGAAUACCAGGAAGUCUGCCGUGAAACAGUCUCUCCUAGAAAUAACUGCAUAAAUAAGACUGGAACAAAGGCAAUUAUCAAUGGUCUUGUUAAUGUUGAAGGGGACUACUCGACAGGACCCCACGCCUAGACAAAGGACUACAGGCAACUAAAGACUGCUGAGAGGCUCCCAGGGAUGAGCCUACUUAAACUGGUUGUCCAAUGCAGGGUGGUCAGGCCUAAGCAUAUAUACACAAACAACAAAACAGGUGCAGUAAGUUGUAUUUAUAUAUAUUUGUGAAUUACAUACAUGUGACAAUGAUUAUCAAAGAGAAAGGGCUAUCAACUUGAAUGACGGAGGACACAAGAGAGGUGUGAGGGAGGAUAGCUAGGACGGACUGAAGGGAAGAAAGAGAUGAGGGAAAGUGAUAUACCAUUUAAAUAAAAAGCAUAAAUAAAAAAUGUCUUUAAAAACUCACAAUCGUUCUAACUGUAAGCCCCUAAGUGUUCUCAGCUGAGCUACCACUCACAGAAUUUAAGUUUUCCCUGGUUUUAAGGCACACAUGGACUUUACAGGGGUACUAAAAAGGAGUGUAAACAAUAAGAAAAAAAAAAUCAAGGGAACUGAACUCAGGUUGCCAGGCUUGGCUGCAAGUGCCUUUACCACUGAGCCGUCUCCCCGGUCCUGAGCUCUACUCUUAACUACCAAUCCUCCCAUAAAAUGUUUAAUUUUCAUAUUCAGUUGAAGAAAUGUUUUAUCUGGAAACUCAUCAUGGGAAAGUGGUAUGAAUGUAAUUCACAAAAUGAUAAACAUGGCACAUAACCGCUGUUGAAGAAGAGUAACAUCCUACCUGGAGGGAGCAGUGUCUCCCAGACGUCAAGCCUGUCCUCCCCCAGAGGAGACAUCAAUUUUCUGAUGUUUUCAUCGUGUCACUCGCUUUAUUCCUUGUGUGACAUCCAUGCACUCCUUCAUCCUACCUUCUGCACCACCGUGCUAUCUGAGAUUCAUCCAUAAGACUGUGGAGCUUAUUUAGUUUACAGGGUGCCUGCUUCUACUCUGAUUUUCUGUGGUUCUUAAUUUUUUUGGGAGAAACUGCAGAUAUAAAACUUCUAAGGUAGAUGUUAACCUGUACCCAGAGCUACAAUCAGCCGUUCUAAGUAUUUUCUGACUAAAAUUAUGUAUUUCAAUGGGGUGUAACAUUUUACCCCAGGGAAAUUAUUCUACCAACACUGUAGAGCUGCUUUUGUUGUUAUAUGGCAUGCCAUAACAGACACCUAAGUAAUACAUUAAUAAAAAUCAAACAAGCAAUCACCUACCAUUCUUUUUUUAAAAAAAAAAAUUUAUUUAU